GACCAUUAGACACCUUCCAGCAGAAGGAACCCAGGACCCCACAAGGAAUCUUUGGGAAGAGGAUUGAAAAAGAAGUACAGCUGGAGGAAAAGGCAUCAGAUUUGUUAAGACAACUUUCUACAAACUCUUCAAAGGAAAUCUCCAAUUCUCAUGAGUCAUGGCAAAAAUCAAUGCUGACCUUCAGAAAUAUUUGCAGAUCCUAAUCAAUGACAAUAUCCUGUGACAAUGAUGGAAUUUAUAUCUAUUCAUGUCAUCUCAGAGCUUGGCAAAGAAAUAAAUGAAUCUGGGUGCUCCCUCAGUCCUAGGAGAAAAGCAGCUGAUUUAUGAAGUGGAAAUAGCCAACCCAAUUCUGGAGGAAGCUGCCAAAGUCAUUUAUCCUCUCGGAGAAAUAUAGAAAGCCCUUUAGAAGAUAUGUAUAUUGACAUUUAGAAG
Eptesicus fuscus (big brown bat) is the source of this 432-nucleotide long non-coding RNA. RefSeq lists it as uncharacterized. The record is from RefSeq and is a predicted model, not a curated record. Lineage: Eukaryota; Metazoa; Chordata; Mammalia; Chiroptera; Vespertilionidae. The transcript has 3 exons.